This 73-nucleotide transfer RNA is filed under the name Myotis lucifugus (little brown bat). It matches the Rfam family "tRNA". Rfam says of the family: Transfer RNA (tRNA) molecules are approximately 80 nucleotides in length. Their secondary structure includes four short double-helical elements and three loops (D, anti-codon, and T loops). Further hydrogen bonds mediate the characteristic L-shaped molecular structure. tRNAs have two regions of fundamental functional importance: the anti-codon, which is responsible for specific mRNA codon recognition, and the 3' end, to which the tRNAs corresponding amino acid is attached (by aminoacyl-tRNA synthetases). tRNAs cope with the degeneracy of the genetic code in two manners: having more than one tRNA (with a specific anti-codon) for a particular amino acid; and 'wobble' base-pairing, i.e. permitting non-standard base-pairing at the 3rd anti-codon position. The record is from Rfam by way of RNAcentral. Lineage: Eukaryota; Metazoa; Chordata; Mammalia; Chiroptera; Vespertilionidae.
GCCUGUUUGGCUCAGUGGAUAGAGCGUCAGCCUGUGGACUGAAGGGUCCCGGGUUCAAUUCCCGUCAAGGGCA